RNAcentral lists this ribosomal RNA (253 nucleotides) under uncultured bacterium. RNAcentral describes it as "partial 16S ribosomal RNA". It matches the Rfam family "Bacterial small subunit ribosomal RNA", at positions 524 to 776 of the family's 1533-position model. The record is from RNAcentral.
UACGUGAGGGGCGAACGUUGUUCGGUGUCACUGGGCUUAAAGGGUGCGUAGGUGGUUACGUAAGUAACGUGUGAAAGCCCUCGGCUUACCCGGGGAAUUGCGCGUUAUACUGCGUGACUUGAGGAUUUCAGGGGAAAGGGGAACUCCGAGUGUAGCGGUGAAAUGCGCAGAUAUUCGGGGGAAGGCCGGCGGCGAAGGCGCCUUUCUGGGAAAUUCCUGACACUGAGGCACGAAAGCGUGGGGAGCAAACAGG